AGAGUUUCAUCCUGGCUCAGGAUGAACGCUAGCGGUAGGCCUAACACAUGCAAGUCGAACGGUAACAGCGGAGCUUGCUCCGGCUGACGAGUGGCGGACGGGUGCGUAACGCGUAUCCUACCUCUUACAGUGGGAUAGCCCAGAGAAAUUUGGAUUAAUACCGCAUAGUAUAUGGGACCAGCAUUGCUUUGUUCUUAAAGCUUCGGUGGUUAGAGAUAGGCAUGCGGCCCAUUAGUUUGUUGGUGAGGUAACGGCUCACCAAGACUACGAUGGGUAGGGGGUCUGAGAGGAUGAUCCCCCACACUGGUACUGAGACACGGACCAGACUCCUACGGGAGGCAGCAGUGAGGAAUAUUGGACAAUGGGCGAGAGCCUGAUCCAGCCAUGCCGCGUGCAGGAAGACUGCCCUAUGGGUUGUAAACUGCUUUUGUACGGGAAGAAACACCCCCUCGUGAGGGGGCUUGACGGUACUGUAAGAAUAAGGAUCGGCUAACUCCGUGCCAGCAGCCGCGGUAAUACGGAGGAUCCAAGCGUUAUCCGGAAUCAUUGGGUUUAAAGGGUCCGUAGGUGGAUAAUUAAGUCAGAGGUGAAAUCCUGCAGCUCAACUGUAGAAUUGCCUUUGAUACUGGUUAUCUUGAGUUAUUAUGAAGUAGUUAGAAUAUGUAGUGUAGCGGUGAAAUGCAUAGAUAUUACAUAGAAUACCGAUUGCGAAGGCAGCUUACUAAUAAUAUACUGACACUGAUGGACGAAAGCGUGGGUAGCGAACAGGAUUAGAUACCCUGGUAGUCCACGCCGUAAACGAUGGAUACUAGCUGUUGGGCUUCGGCUCAGUGGCUAAGCGAAAGUGAUAAGUAUCCCACCUGGGGAGUACGUUCGCAAGAAUGAAACUCAAAGGAAUUGACGGGGGCCCGCACAAGCGGUGGAGCAUGUGGUUUAAUUCGAUGAUACGCGAGGAACCUUACCAGGGCUUAAAUGUAGAUUGACAGGUUUAGAGAUAGACUUUUCUUCGGACAAUUUACAAGGUGCUGCAUGGUUGUCGUCAGCUCGUGCCGUGAGGUGUCAGGUUAAGUCCUAUAACGAGCGCAACCCCUGUUGUUAGUUGCCAGCGAGUCAUGUCGGGAACUCUAACAAGACUGCCAGUGCAAACUGUGAGGAAGGGGCGGAUGACGUGAAAUCAUCACGGCCCUUACGUCCUGGGCUACACACGUGCUACAAUGGUAGGGACAGAGAGCAGCGACUGGGCGACCAGGAGCGAAUCUACAAACCCUAUCACAGUUCGGAUCGGAGUCUGCAACUGGACUCCGUGAAGCUGGAAUCGCUAGUAAUCGCAUAUCAGCCAUGAUGCGGUGAAUACGUUCCCGGGCCUUGUACACACCGCCCGUCAAGCCAUGGAAGCUGGGAGUGCCUGAAGUCCGUCACCGUAAGGAGCGGCCUAGGGUAAAAUCGGUAACUAGGGCUAAGUCGUAACAAGGUAGCCGUA
This 1480-nucleotide ribosomal RNA is filed under the name uncultured prokaryote. Its description in RNAcentral is "partial 16S ribosomal RNA". It matches the Rfam family "Bacterial small subunit ribosomal RNA". The record is from RNAcentral.